Molecule: ribosomal RNA, 422 nt
Filed under: Triticum aestivum (bread wheat)
Lineage: Eukaryota; Viridiplantae; Streptophyta; Magnoliopsida; Poales; Poaceae
Description: partial small subunit ribosomal RNA
Source: RNAcentral
CCAGGCGUUCCCCUCUCCAGUUUCGCCCCACUCCCGAACGCCUCCGUCGCCGCUGUUGCCGUCGACCUCGCGGCCAUCAUGGCCCCCACGCCGAGCUGGGAGGUCCGGCAGAACCGCUGUCGUCUACUUCGUCUUCCUCGCCCACGAGGUCAAGCCGGGAGCCCCCACAUCGACCGGAUCGAGGUCAUCUUCAACCUCCGCCCCGCUGCUUGCCGUCUUCGAUUCGGCCUCAUCGGAACCUCCCCGAGCCCGCUUUGCUCACCUACAGGCUCGAUAGAUGUCGGAGCCCAGGAUCCAGACGCCACCUUUGACGACGACUACCACAACCCCGAGGGUGCCUACUACUACGUGGAGGACGCCAACGACCAGGAGUAGUUAGGAGGCUCCCAGGCAGGAGGCCUUGCCUUUUCGACCGUAGAUGC